Molecule: ribosomal RNA, 253 nt
Filed under: uncultured bacterium
Lineage: Bacteria
Description: partial 16S ribosomal RNA
Rfam family: Bacterial small subunit ribosomal RNA
Source: RNAcentral
UACGAAGGGGGCUAGCGUUGUCCGGAUUUACUGGGCGUAAAGAGCGCGCAGGCGGUCGAUCAAGUCGAGUGUGAAAGCCCCCGGCUCAACUGGGGAGGGGCAUUCGAUACUGAUCGACUCGAAGGCAGGAGAGGGGAGUGGAAUUCCCGGUGUAGUGGUGAAAUGCGUAGAUAUCGGGAGGAACACCAGUGGCGAAGGCGACUACCUGGCCUGAUCUUGACGCUGAGGCGCGAAAGCUAGGGGAGCAAACGGG